AAAUAAAUAAAUGGUAGAUUACAUUGGACUCUGUUACAGCUGGUGAACCUGCAUCCAAAUCAAGACACCCCCAACACCUGACGAGACAAUAAGAAAGCCCCCUGAGCCCCAAACUUCCAGCGAGGAGCAAACUGGACAUCUCAGUGCCGAGACCGCCAAGCCCUUGUUCAAUGUGCACAGCAGCCCAUCUGUCAAUGGUGGCACAUCACGUGUCCAUGCAGCGCUGAACCCCCGGGAAGAGGCUUGGUCCCAGAAACCCGGAACGUUUGAGUGUUGCGGAGGAAGCACAGAGGCCGCGUUCCGGGCCAGCAGAGUGGAGUCACAUGAUCGUACAGAAGCCAGACUUGGUGAGUCUCCUCUGAGGGUUCCUGCUUGGGGUUUCCCUGGGCCAUCCGGGCGACCUGCGGGAGUCGGGGAGGGCUUGCCAGGGGCAGCGGCCAGGGACAGAGCAGAGGGCAGCCUUCACCUUGGCCACUGGGCCCCAGGCAGGAGGGGGCAAGCUUGAGCUGCACGCCCCCCCAUUCAGUGGGACUCUCCCUCUCUGGGAGGCCUACGGUCAGGCUGUGCAGAAGACAGGGGACACCCAGGGCUCCAGAGUUGCGUGAGUGUUGUUAAGAGUGUUCGAGGGCUUACAGAGAACAAACUGAGGGUGGACGGGGUGGGGUGGGGGAGAGGGGAAAGCGGGUGAUGGGCAUGGAGGAGGGCAUCUGUUGGGAUGAGCACUGGGUGUUGUAUGUAGGGGAUGAACCAUGGGAAUCUACCCCCAAAACCAAGACUGUAUGUUAGCCAAUUCGACAAUAAAUUAUAUUUAAAAAAACAAAAAAAAAGAUUGCUCAAGGGCAGACAGAGAGGGUCCAAGCACUAUGCCCCCAAGUACUGGGGGCGUAUCUCCCCCACCCCCCUUAAAACCAUCCAAAGCCACAUCCUCUCCUACUCCUUUCAUCCAUUCCCCAGGCCUCUUCCCUCCCCCGGGGACCCACCUAUUGAUUUGGGGGCCACUGGGGACCAGAAUGCCAGGAUGCUCCAUUCGGAGGGGGCCUUGGCCUCCAAGCGGGAGAUGGGCCCUGGAUCCUGGACCUGGAUAGAGAGGGAUGGGCACACUCAUCACAGGCCUCUCUGCGCCAAGAACCACAUGGUGCAAAGAGAAAACUUUGGGAGAAGAACAAGGAGGGUGCGUGUCGGGGUACGUUCACCGGGCGCUGGCACGGGGUGCACGAAAGACUACCCUCCGUAUGGGGCAGGCGCUUGGCAAAGCUGGGCCGCCCACCGCUGCCCGGAGGACGACACACUGAACGGAAGACAGGGGGUUCAAGUGUGAAUAGCAAGUAGCAAACAGCUCUGGCCCCAGAGGUCGAAGUCUUUGGGGGACGAGGCUGGUAUACGGUGAGCUAGGGCAAGAAAAUCACUCGGUCUCCGUACCUGGCACGUGGUAGGCUUUCAAUAAAACUUGGUGUUCUAAGAUGCAAAGUUCUAGAAGUUAGGAAAGCCAAGGAAGCGGCCAGGAAGAGGUGACUGAGAAAGGGGUCAGGGAGACUGGGCCAGGGCCUUGAGAGGUGAGCAGGAAGGGGCGGGGGCUGGUCAGGCCUCAGUGGCAGACCCAGGGGGAGGCGGGGGCAUCCAGGAAACCAACGUGGGGGAGAGAGUGCUCCUGUGUCCAGGUAGGAGAUUCACAGCUAGGGACAGCCUGCUGCCACUCACACUCCAGCCUCUGCGCCCAAGACGCGGGGGGGACAUCCGGUGGGGCCUGGUCCUCUCUCUCCUCCUGGCCCUCCUCCAAUUCCUCUUCCUCCCACCCACCCGAAGACCUGGAGGGGUGGGGAACAGGAGGCAGAGCAGCACCAGGGACACGUCCCCCCCCCCCUCCCUGGGGUGCCUGCGUGGCCGCGGCCCCAACCCCACCAGCGUCCGCACCCCCGUGGAGCCCCGGAGCCCCGGCCCCACCCCACUCACCUGUGCCUCACUUCCACUCUGCCCCUUCCCGGCCCUCCUGGAGCCUGGGGCCUCCCUGGAGCCGAAGUCUGGGGAUGGCGGGGGAGUAAAGGGAACCCGCUGUGACAUAUCCGCGAGCGUAUGUUCCCUCCACACGCAGCGGCCCCACACAGAGCGGUGCUAGACGCUAACUGGGAUGGGCCACGCCUCUGAGAGUGGAAAUCCGUGACAAGGUCCGCGCUAGUAACGCUCAAGUUAGAACUCGGGCUCACAGACAUGGCCAGAGCCUGGCCUCCACCUCAUCCUGCCUGGGGCCUCCAGGGGCAAAGUCACAGGAAGUCGGUGGCUGCCUUCAGACGGACCCCAGCUCUUCCCCAGUCCAGUCCUCUGCCCGGACCAGGCUAAUUUAGUUUCACUUGCAAGUUAUAAAUACAGUGUCCUAGUCUUUAAGAGAAGACAUGAAUCCCAUUAAAUAAAUAUAAUAAAUA
Molecule: long non-coding RNA, 2417 nt
Organism: Acinonyx jubatus (cheetah)
Lineage: Eukaryota; Metazoa; Chordata; Mammalia; Carnivora; Felidae
Exons: 2
Source: RefSeq, a predicted model, not a curated record